Molecule: ribosomal RNA, 1109 nt
Filed under: uncultured cyanobacterium
Lineage: Bacteria; Bacillati; Cyanobacteriota
Description: bacterial SSU rRNA
Rfam family: Bacterial small subunit ribosomal RNA
Source: RNAcentral
GAGCACGCCGCGUGAGGGAUGAAGGCCUCUGGGCUGUAAACCUCUUUUCUCAAGGAAGAAGACAUGACGGUACUUGAGGAAUAAGCCACGGCUAAUUCCGUGCCAGCAGCCGCGGUAAUACGGGAGUGGCAAGCGUUAUCCGGAAUUAUUGGGCGUAAAGCGUCCGCAGGCGGCCUUGUAAGUCUGUCGUUAAAGCGUGGAGCUUAACUCCAUUUCAGCGAUGGAAACUACAAGGCUUGAGUGUGGUAGGGGCAGAGGGAAUUCCCGGUGUAGCGGUGAAAUGCGUAGAUAUCGGGAAGAACACCAGUGGCGAAGGCGCUCUGCUGGGCCAUAACUGACGCUCAUGGACGAAAGCCAGGGGAGCGAAAGGGAUUAGAUACCCCUGUAGUCCUGGCCGUAAACGAUGAACACUAGGUGUCGGGGGAAUCGACCCCCUCGGUGUCGUAGCUAACGCGUUAAGUGUUCCGCCUGGGGAGUACGCACGCAAGUGUGAAACUCAAAGGAAUUGACGGGGGCCCGCACAAGCGGUGGAGUAUGUGGUUUAAUUCGAUGCAACGCGAAGAACCUUACCAGGGUUUGACAUCCUGCGAAUCCCUUGGAAACGAGGGAGUGCCUUCGGGAGCGCAGAGACGGGUGGUGCAUGGCUGUCGUCAGCUCGUGUCGUGAGAUGUUGGGUUAAGUCCCGCAACGAGCGCAACCCACGUCUUUAGUUGCCAGCAUUCAGUUGGACACUCUAGAGAGACCGCCGGUGAUAAACCGGAGGAAGGUGUGGAUGACGUCAAGUCAUCAUGCCCCUUACAUCCUGGGCUACACACGUACUACAAUGCUACGGACAAAGGGCAGCAAGCUCGCGAGAGUUAGCAAAUCCCAUGAACCGUGGCUCAGUUCAGAUCGUAGGCUGCAACUCGCCUACGUGAAGGAGGAAUCGCUAGUAAUCGCAGGUCAGCAUACUGCGGUGAAUACGUUCCCGGGCCUUGUACACACCGCCCGUCACACCAUGGAAGUUGGCCAUGCCCGAAGUCGUUACUCCAACCCUUGUGGAGGAGGACGCCGAAGGUGGGGCUGAUGACUGGGGUGAAGUCGUAACAAGGUAGCCGUACCGGAAGGUG